CUUCGCACGGUUAGAUCAACGUUCACGCUAUUCUUAAAUUCACCGUUCCACUUGCGACAAUCGGUGAACGGUUCUUGUGAACUACCAUAAGCUUGGGAUGCAUGAAAUUCCCCAGUCUAUUGGUGGUGCUGAAGGAUGACAUCAUUAUUCUAUGAAGACAGCGUACUGUUAGAUUUCAGAUUUUCUACUGCAAAUGCAACCACUACGCACUAAUUUCAUUCGGGUCAAAUCAGAGGCUAUUAUUGAAUAUCAAGAAAUAGAUCUUUGUACUCCGUUGAUUUGACGA
This is a long non-coding RNA of Nomia melanderi (Alkali bee), 286 nucleotides long. RefSeq lists it as uncharacterized. NCBI's taxonomy places the organism in Eukaryota, Metazoa, Arthropoda, Insecta, Hymenoptera, Halictidae. The record is from RefSeq and is a predicted model, not a curated record.